Molecule: ribosomal RNA, 1745 nt
Filed under: Escherichia coli
Lineage: Bacteria; Pseudomonadati; Pseudomonadota; Gammaproteobacteria; Enterobacterales; Enterobacteriaceae
Description: partial 23S ribosomal RNA
Rfam family: Bacterial large subunit ribosomal RNA
Source: RNAcentral
CGGCAGCGACACUAUGUGUUGUUGGGUAGGGGAGCGUUCUGUAAGCCUGUGAAGGUGUACUGUGAGGUAUGCUGGAGGUAUCAGAAGUGCGAAUGCUGACAUAAGUAACGAUAAAGCGGGUGAAAAGCCCGCUCGCCGGAAGACCAAGGGUUCCUGUCCAACGUUAAUCGGGGCAGGGUGAGUCGACCCCUAAGGCGAGGCCGAAAGGCGUAGUCGAUGGGAAACAGGUUAAUAUUCCUGUACUUGGUGUUACUGCGAAGGGGGGACGGAGAAGGCUAUGUUGGCCGGGCGACGGUUGUCCCGGUUUAAGCGUGUAGGCUGGUUUUCCAGGCAAAUCCGGAAAAUCAAGGCUGAGGCGUGAUGACGAGGCACUACGGUGCUGAAGCGACAAAUGCCCUGCUUCCAGGAAAAGCCUCUAAGCAUCAGGUAACAUCAAAUCGUACCCCAAACCGACACAGGUGGUCAGGUAGAGAAUACCAAGGCGCUUGAGAGAACUCGGGUGAAGGAACUAGGCAAAAUGGUGCCGUAACUUCGGGAGAAGGCACGCUGAUAUGUAGGUGAAGCGACUUGCUCGUGGAGCUGAAAUCAGUCGAAGAUACCAGCUGGCUGCAACUGUUUAUUAAAAACACAGCACUGUGCAAACACGAAAGUGGACGUAUACGGUGUGACGCCUGCCCGGUGCCGGAAGGUUAAUUGAUGGGGUUAGCGGUAACGCGAAGCUCUUGAUCGAAGCCCCGGUAAACGGCGGCCGUAACUAUAACGGUCCUAAGGUAGCGAAAUUCCUUGUCGGGUAAGUUCCGACCUGCACGAAUGGCGUAAUGAUGGCCAGGCUGUCUCCACCCGAGACUCAGUGAAAUUGAACUCGCUGUGAAGAUGCAGUGUACCCGCGGCAAGACGGAAAGACCCCGUGAACCUUUACUAUAGCUUGACACUGAACAUUGAGCCUUGAUGUGUAGGAUAGGUGGGAGGCUUUGAAGUGUGGACGCCAGUCUGCAUGGAGCCGACCUUGAAAUACCACCCUUUAAUGUUUGAUGUUCUAACGUGGGCCCCUUACCGGGGUUGCGGACAGUGUCUGGUGGGUAGUUUGACUGGGGCGGUCUCCUCCUAAAGAGUAACGGAGGAGCACGAAGGUUGGCUAAUCCUGGUCGGACAUCAGGAGGUUAGUGCAAUGGCAUAAGCCAGCUUGACUGCGAGCGUGACGGCGCGAGCAGGUGCGAAAGCAGGUCAUAGUGAUCCGGUGGUUCUGAAUGGAAGGGCCAUCGCUCAACGGAUAAAAGGUACUCCGGGGAUAACAGGCUGAUACCGCCCAAGAGUUCAUAUCGACGGCGGUGUUUGGCACCUCGAUGUCGGCUCAUCACAUCCUGGGGCUGAAGUAGGUCCCAAGGGUAUGGCUGUUCGCCAUUUAAAGUGGUACGCGAGCUGGGUUUAGAACGUCGUGAGACAGUUCGGUCCCUAUCUGCCGUGGGCGCUGGAGAACUGAGGGGGGCUGCUCCUAGUACGAGAGGACCGGAGUGGACGCAUCACUGGUGUUCGGGUUGUCAUGCCAAUGGCACUGCCCGGUAGCUAAAUGCGGAAGAGAUAAGUGCUGAAAGCAUCUAAGCACGAAACUUGCCCCGAGAUGAGUUCUCCCUGACUCCUUGAGAGUCCUGAAGGAACGUUGAAGACGACGACGUUGAUAGGCCGGGUGUGUAAGCGCAGCGAUGCGUUGAGCUAACCGGUACUAAUGAACCGUGAGGCUUAACCUU